Molecule: long non-coding RNA, 1882 nt
Filed under: Homo sapiens (human)
Lineage: Eukaryota; Metazoa; Chordata; Mammalia; Primates; Hominidae
Description: HSALNT0320713
Source: RNAcentral
GGAUGUGCAGGUUUGUUACAUAGGUAAAUGUGUGCCAUGAUGGUUUGCUGCACAGAUCAUCCCAUCAUGUAGGCAGGUCUUUCAGGAAGUAUUCCAAACAAAGGCAUUGUUAUCCUAGAAGAUGACAGCUCCAUGCAUGUUAUUAUCCCUGAAAUCCUUCCAGUGGGACAAGAUAUGGAAAUGGAAGACAGUGAUAUUGAUGAUCCUGAUGCUGUGUAGGCCUAGGUGCAGACGGUGGAGUUAAUCAUUCUCCUCAGUUCCUACUUGGUGAAUGUUUCAUGCAUCCGUGUGAAGAGAGUCCACCAAACAGGCUUUGUGUCUUUACCUCUCAACUGAACCCUGAACUCCUGGAGAAUAGAUGCUGUCGGGAAAUCACCAGCUUCUCACAAAGCAAUGAUCGUUGAAUAAAUCCUUGUUAAAUAAUGACAGUUUUCCUUUUUGGAUUGCUGUGAUCUCUACUCCCAUCACGACUGCUAAGCCUUGGGCAGGAGACCUUGUAUUCCCAGCCAGCUAUUCUUCCCACCGCCAUCCGAGGACUCAAUGGUAGGAGGGUCCUGUAGAUUAGAUAAAAAGCCACAAACAUCUCAGUAACCUCAAGCUGUUUUAGGCACAUCUUGUAUCCCUCUUGCCUCAACUCUGGAAUUGGUUACCACUACUUCUGAACUGGGUGGCAGCUACAGACAGAGGUGGUAAGGGAGUAAUUGCUUAGGAUUGGACUGAGCUGAAGAAUGUUUAGCCUGGCGGUACUAGUGCAACUGGAAGAACAGAUGAACCAUAGUUUGCAACACAAAGCCAAGUCAACCAACAGAAGAAAUAUAUAUUUUAAGAAGAUUUUAUAUUUUCAACUGAAAACGUUCAUGUCAGUUGUGAAUGUAUUUGUAAUUGGCAGCCCCAAAUCAUCUCCCUUUUUAUUUUUGAGAAAGUGUAGUGUGCUUUAGUAUUUGGAACAUUCAUUUAAACCUAUUAAAUUAUAUUUUAAAAUGCACUGUUCCCAUUUCAAUCAAAAUUGGUUUUAUACUAUAUAUUGUAACACUAAAGUGCUUCUGGUAAUUUGCUUGUAAAACCAAAACUCUUUUAAAUUUAUCCACUUGUCCCUUUCAGAAAUGACGUGUUUGUGCAUAGGACUUGUUAGUAUUCUGAUUCAAACAAAACUACAGUACAUGUAAAAACAUAUUUAUAGAACAUAAAUAAGAAAAUGUGAACCCUGAAGAAUAUUUGAUGGAACUAAUGGACUAUUCUAAUUUUUAUGUGUGAAAAUGAUAAUGUGAUUUUUUAAAAGAGUCCUUCUUUUUUAGACAUGCACACUGAAAUAAUUAUAGAUGAAAUUAUGCAAUGUCUGUGAUUUGUUUCAAAAUAGUCUGGUGCUUAGGGAGAGAGAAGUGGGUGGGGAGAGAGAUGAAAUAAGCUUAGUUAUGAGUUGGUAAUUGUUGAAGCUGGGUCCUAUAUAUAUAUGGGGGUAAGGUCAUAUUCUAUUCUACUUUUGCAUAGAUUUGAAAUUUUUCAUAAUAAAAAGUUAAAAACAAAUCACACACCAAAAAAACUCCCAAACCCAACUGUCAUUAUUUAAUAACUUUGAACUUGGUAUGGACCUAAGAAGGCAUCUUUUACAAGGGAAAUGUGCAGUUCCAAGUCUUUUUCUUGAUGAUUGGGUCUGAAUGUGUUAAUCAAUGCUGCCCUGUCAUAGCCCCGACAUAGGGAAAAUGCUGAAAUGUGAUUUUUAAAUCAUAAAAAUGUGCCCAUAGUAAUAGCUCCAUCUUUUGCACAAUAUUUAAAUCAAUUCAUUGAUUUCCAGUUGCCUGAUAUUCUUAUUUCAGUAACAAAAUAAACGAUACAUAGUUCAGUAAAGUUGAAUCCAUUUGGGUUCAUUUGUGCUCGAAGUCUG